Long non-coding RNA from Lathyrus oleraceus (garden pea), 192 nucleotides. RefSeq lists it as uncharacterized. The record is from RefSeq and is a predicted model, not a curated record. The transcript has 3 exons. Lineage: Eukaryota; Viridiplantae; Streptophyta; Magnoliopsida; Fabales; Fabaceae.
GUGGCAUUUUUGUUUUCAAUUGCUAGGUCUGGUGUAUGCAAUGCAGAUUUGCACCACUGUGGAGAAAUUGGAUGGAUGUGAGGUCUUGGCGGCAGGUUUUGAAGCAUGAUGACAUUGCUCAGUUGCCUUAACAUGUUACAGAUGGUCUACAGCAGGCAUGUGGAUCUGGCUUAAUGUGGCUUCAUGGUCAAG